UAAUACGGAGGGUGCGAGCGUUAAUCGGAAUUACUGGGCGUAAAGCGUACGUAGGCGGCUUAUUAAGCAAGAUGUGAAAGCCCCGGGCUCAACCUGGGAAUGGCAUUUUGAACUGGUAGGCUCGAGUUCUGAAGAGGGUGGUAGAAUUUCCUGUGUAGCGGUGAAAUGCGUAGAUAUAGGAAGGAAUACCGGUGGCGAAGGCGGCCACCUGGUCAGAGACUGACGCUGAGGUACGAAAGCGUGGGGAGCAAACAGG
Molecule: ribosomal RNA, 256 nt
Filed under: uncultured archaeon
Lineage: Archaea
Description: partial 16S ribosomal RNA
Rfam family: Bacterial small subunit ribosomal RNA
Source: RNAcentral